This is a non-coding RNA of Myotis davidii, 146 nucleotides long. The record is from Rfam. Lineage: Eukaryota; Metazoa; Chordata; Mammalia; Chiroptera; Vespertilionidae.
GUCCCUGAGUUGGGGGUUUCUGUAGGCACUUUAUUGCUCCACUUUCUAAAGCCUGGGCUGGGCCCAACUCUGAGGCUUCCUCAUCCUGUUUCUAUGACCAAGUUACAUCUAUGGCUUGAACCUCUACAAUGAAAAAACAAAUCCAU